CUGCUGCCUCCCGUAGGAGCCUGGUCCGUGUCUCAGUACCAGUGUGGGGGACCUUCCUCUCAGAACCCCUAGACAUCGUCGCCUUGGUGGGCCGUUACCCCGCCAACAAGCUAAUGUCACGCAUGCCCAUCCGUCUCCGGAGUUGCCUCCUUUGGCCGAAAGAAGAUGCCUCCCCUCGGCCACAUGCGGUAUUAGGCCGGAUUUCUCCGGGUUAUCCCGCUGAAACGGGCAGGUUGCAUACGCGUUACUCACCCGUGCGCCGGUCG
Molecule: ribosomal RNA, 266 nt
Filed under: uncultured bacterium
Lineage: Bacteria
Description: partial 16S ribosomal RNA
Source: RNAcentral